Molecule: unclassified non-coding RNA, 253 nt
Filed under: uncultured Flavobacteriaceae bacterium
Lineage: Bacteria; Pseudomonadati; Bacteroidota; Flavobacteriia; Flavobacteriales; Flavobacteriaceae
Description: contains 16S-23S intergenic spacer region
Rfam family: Bacterial small subunit ribosomal RNA
Source: RNAcentral
UACGGAGGAUCCAAGCGUUAUCCGGAAUCAUUGGGUUUAAAGGAUCCGUAGGCGGGUUUAUAAGUCAGCGGUGAAAGUCUGCAGCUCAACAGUAGAAUUGCCAUUGAUACUGUUGACCUUGAGUAAUAAUGAAGUGGUUAGAAUAUGUAGUGUAGCGGUGAAAUGCAUAGAUAUUACAUAGAAUACCGGUUGCGAAGGCAGAUCACUAAUAAUUCACUGACGCUGAUGGACGAAAGCGUAGGUAGCGAACCGG